This 251-nucleotide ribosomal RNA is filed under the name uncultured bacterium. RNAcentral describes it as "partial 16S ribosomal RNA". It matches the Rfam family "Bacterial small subunit ribosomal RNA", at positions 81 to 334 of the family's 1533-position model. The record is from RNAcentral.
UACACUGGUGGCGACCGGCGCACGGGUGAGUAACACGUGUGCAACCAACCCGUACCGGAGAUAACCCGCGGAAACGUGGACUAACAUCCCAUAAGACUCUAGAGCCGCAUGGCUCUGGAUUUAAAAUUCCGGUGGUACGGGACGGGCACGCGCGACAUUAGGUAGUUGGCGGGGUAAGGGCCCACCAAGCCGACGAUGUCUAGGGGUUCUGAGAGGAAGGUCCCCCACACUGGAACUGAGACACGGUCCAG